Molecule: ribosomal RNA, 248 nt
Filed under: uncultured bacterium
Lineage: Bacteria
Description: partial 16S ribosomal RNA
Rfam family: Bacterial small subunit ribosomal RNA
Source: RNAcentral
AGACGGUAGGGGGCGAGCGUUGUCCGGAAUUACUGGGCGUAAAGAGCACGUAGGCGGAUAUUUAAGUCAGGUGUGAAAGACCGCAGCUCAACUGCGGGGUUGCACCUGAAACUGGGUAUCUUGAGGGCAGGAGAGGGAAGUGGAAUUCCUGGUGUAGCGGUGAAAUGCGUAGAAAUCAGGAGGAACACCAGUGGCGAAGGCGACUUUCUGGACUGACCCUGACGCUGAGGUGCGAAAGCGUGGGGAGC